RNAcentral lists this ribosomal RNA (464 nucleotides) under Vreelandella stevensii. RNAcentral's name for it is "partial 16S ribosomal RNA". It matches the Rfam family "Bacterial small subunit ribosomal RNA", at positions 338 to 794 of the family's 1533-position model. The record is from RNAcentral. Lineage: Bacteria; Pseudomonadati; Pseudomonadota; Gammaproteobacteria; Oceanospirillales; Halomonadaceae.
CCUACGGGAGGCUGCAGUGGGGAAUAUUGGACAAUGGGCGAAAGCCUGAUCCAGCCAUGCCGCGUGUGUGAAGAAGGCCUUCGGGUUGUAAAGCACUUUCAGUGGGGAAGAAAGCCUUGGGGCUAAUACCCUCGAGGAAGGACAUCACCCACAGAAGAAGCACCGGCUAACUCCGUGCCAGCAGCCGCGGUAAUACGGAGGGUGCGAGCGUUAAUCGGAAUUACUGGGCGUAAAGCGCGCGUAGGCGGUCUGAUAAGCCGGUUGUGAAAGCCCCGGGCUCAACCUGGGAACGGCAUCCGGAACUGUCAGGCUAGAGUGCAGGAGAGGAAGGUAGAAUUCCCGGUGUAGCGGGGAAAUGCGUAGAGAUCGGGAGGAAUACCAGUGGCGAGGGCGGCCUUCUGGACUGACACUGACGCUGAGGUGCGAAAGCGUGGGUAGCAAACAGGAUUAGAUACCCGGGUAGU